Non-coding RNA from Phascolarctos cinereus (koala), 1996 nucleotides. Lineage: Eukaryota; Metazoa; Chordata; Mammalia; Diprotodontia; Phascolarctidae. The record is from RefSeq and is a predicted model, not a curated record.
GAGCAGGGUACUUGCUGAUCUCCGCUUUAAAGACACUCUUUCAAAUUUUUGAAAAAAAACUGCAGCAUGAACCACACAACUUUGGCUUCUCUCAUCUCUCAGUGUGUUUUUCAACUAAUGGAAAGAAAACUGGAAAACAAAGUCAAAAAUGCUACAGAGGAGAAAAAUCCAAAAUCCAAACCAUAUGACAAUGCCUAUUUCUUCGUUCUCUUUGUCAUGAUGUUUUAUUCUUUCCUGGCAUUAACUGUCUUUUGGGGUUAUGUUCGCUCCAAGAAAGCCAUUUCAAAGAAAGAUCCUUACCAGGAGUUCAGUGAGGAUAAGUAUCAAGACAAGAAUGUGACCCAGUCCAUGGUGGAGAAGUAUGACUUUGAAGAAGAAAGUACACUUUGAACGAUGGAAACAAAGAUACUCUACUAAGCAUCCAGGAAUAUUUUGAUGGCAUCUAUCGAAAGGGAGAUGUUCGAAGUCACUUUAUUCAGUCAAGGUCCAGUUGGGUAAGCCCAUAUUGUCACCUAAGGGCAGGAGGUACACAGCAAAGAAGAAAAAAGCAACAGCUUUGGAAGGAAUAGGGACUUUAUAAGCCUUUGCUGGAUAAAAUUUGUUUCCUCUCCCUUCUUUCCUCUGUGCAUCUAAAAGGAACGGAAUCAAUAUUAACACAGUUACUAUUGUGGAGAUUUGGUAAUGGGAUUUCUUGGAUAUGCUUAUAUUCUUGUAAACUAUGUGUAGAAAAGGAAGAAAAAUGGUCUGAAUGAAGAGGGAUGAAUUGUUCAAAGGAAUUUGUCAUUGAGGACAUGAUCUACAAAGGCCAUGGUUUGUGCUUUUGAUAGGAAUAACACUAGAGUUAUCUGCUACCUGCAGUAAAGUGGAACAUAUUUUACUCUUCUAUAUGAACUAAUGCUGCUUAACAUGGAAAUAUAUCAAUUCCCUUCUGUGUGUUCUCCCCCAAUACUCCCCCCAGUCCGACUGAAUUCAUAUGUAAUGGCAAAAAUAUUAACACAACAUCUGCAAAACAUAAUUACAGUGCUGUUUUAUUUCCCUCCACUGGAAAGCUAUGGGCUGAAGGCUGACAUUUCCCCUCUCCCAGCACUUGGAAGUCUUCAUUUGUUUUCUUUCUGCACUCUUAUUCUUGGACAAUCAUGUGGAUUUUUGUGUGGCUUUGCAUGGCAGCUUCAAGCUCCAGCAUUUCCCAUUGACUGGAUCCUCAAGAGACAUACUUUACUUUUCUACCUUCUGAGAUUCAAGGGGACAUACAGCUCCAUGACUUGCAGCCUUACAAUAUGACUAAGGAAAAAAAGAAAAUGAAGAUCUCAGUGGUUAUUGGCAAAAGGAGACAUGAAGAUAAAAGACGAAACAUAUUUAACUUUGAAGUGCCUUCUUCAGAAGAUAGAGCUUCUCUUCCUUUUCUUGUCCCCUGCUAUUUCACUAAAACCUGGAUGUAGUUUUCAAGACCUCAACCACCAGAAGACCAAUUCGCAGCCCAUAACCUAAAGAGGUGGUCGUCAUCAAGAAAAGACCAGUAUGGAGAGAAAAAUACAAUGUCCAUCAGUAUACUAGCCUUGUUUUUGAUAGGAGCUGAAAGCAGGAUUGAUUGGGGUAAUAAUGGAAUGAAUUGUGGUACAUAAAUUUAAUGGAAUAUCACUGCGUUCUCAGGAACGAUGAAUAGGAAGGAUUCAGGGAAACAUAGGAAGAGUUGUAUGAAGUGAUUACAGAGUAAAGACAGCAGAACUGAGAGGGCCACAAACUCAAGGACUACAAUAAUGCAAACAAAGUCAACACGGCUAGACAGGCAAAACUCUAGUUAAAUAUAACAUUGCAUGGUAGGGCUGUCCUGACAGAGUUGGUGAAUUCUCCCCCUUUCUAGUAAUAAUGACAUAUUGUUUUGAGGGAAUGUACUUAGCAAGAGGCUUUGUUUAGGUAUUUGUUGAGAAAUAUCUGCUCUGUUUUUGCUUUCUAAACAAAAUAUAGCAAUAAAUUUAACAGAAUCCCUGGCAAGUGA